GACGAACGCUGGCGGCGUGCCUAAUACAUGCAAGUAGAACGCUGAAGAGAGGAGCUUGCUCUUCUUGGAUGAGUUGCGAACGGGUGAGUAACGCGUAGGUAACCUGCCUUGUAGCGGGGGAUAACUAUUGGAAACGAUAGCUAAUACCGCAUAACAAUAGGUGACACAUGUCAUUUAUUUGAAAGGGGCAAUUGCUCCACUACAAGAUGGACCUGCGUUGUAUUAGCUAGUAGGUGAGGUAACGGCUCACCUAGGCGACGAUACAUAGCCGACCUGAGAGGGUGAUCGGCCACACUGGGACUGGGACACGGCCCAGACUCCUACGGGAGGCAGCAGUAGGGAAUCUUCGGCAAUGGGGGCAACCCUGACCGAGCAACGCCGCGUGAGCGAAGAAGGUUUUCGGAUCGUAAAGCUCUGUUGUAAGUCAAGAACGAGUGUGAGAGUGGAAAGUUCACACUGUGACGGCAGCUUACCAGAAAGAGACGGCUAACUACGUG
This 497-nucleotide ribosomal RNA is filed under the name uncultured bacterium. RNAcentral's name for it is "partial 16S ribosomal RNA". It matches the Rfam family "Bacterial small subunit ribosomal RNA", at positions 28 to 507 of the family's 1533-position model. The record is from RNAcentral.